UACGGGGGGGGCAAGCGUUGUUCGGAAUUACUGGGCGUAAAGGGCUCGUAGGCGGCCAACUAAGUCAGACGUGAAAUCCCCAGGCUCAACCUGGGAACUGCGUCUGAUACUGGUUGGCUUGAAUCCGGGAGAGGGAUGCAGAAUUCCAGGUGUAGCGGUGAAAUGCGUAGAUAUCUGGAGGAACACCGGUGGCGAAGGCGGCAUCCUGGACCAACACUGACACUGAGGAGCGAAAGCGUGGGGAGCGAACAGG
RNAcentral lists this ribosomal RNA (253 nucleotides) under uncultured bacterium. RNAcentral describes it as "partial 16S ribosomal RNA". It matches the Rfam family "Bacterial small subunit ribosomal RNA", at positions 524 to 776 of the family's 1533-position model. The record is from RNAcentral.